Osmia bicornis bicornis is the source of this 400-nucleotide long non-coding RNA. RefSeq lists it as uncharacterized. The transcript has 3 exons. The record is from RefSeq and is a predicted model, not a curated record. NCBI's taxonomy places the organism in Eukaryota, Metazoa, Arthropoda, Insecta, Hymenoptera, Megachilidae.
UAUUCCUAUCACAUCAAUUAAUGGGAAAAGUACUAAAUCUUCAAAGAAGGGAAGAUCAGCUGGGAAUAAAAGCAAAAGAAGAAAUAGAUGGAACAUUUCACGCAACCACGACCUCAAAUUCGUUUAAUAAGCAAAGAUGGUGGAGAAACAAUCAAAUCAUCAAAUGAAGGCAAAAACCCUACGCCAGCCAACAGAAGUGGAGGCAAAACGUAACGAUUAAUAGGAGAGGAAAAUACGCACCUGACACAAUGUGAGGAGCAACAUGAAACGUAAAUCAGCAUAAAACCUGAAGCAAGACAAAUCAAUUCAAAUAGUUAUAAAUUGCGUAGAUUAUAAAUUGCGUAGAUUGUUACUGAAUUAUCAUACCGCUCCGAUAAGUCUGAUAUUAACGUUAAUACUA